RNAcentral lists this unclassified non-coding RNA (377 nucleotides) under uncultured Oligoflexaceae bacterium. Its description in RNAcentral is "contains 16S-23S intergenic spacer region". The record is from RNAcentral. Lineage: Bacteria; Pseudomonadati; Bdellovibrionota; Oligoflexia; Oligoflexales; Oligoflexaceae.
UCCGGUUUAACACCGGCAGUCCCUUCAGAGUGGUCAUCUUACUGGUACCAACUAAAGGCAAGGGUUGCGCUCGUUGCGGGACUUAACCCAACAUUUCACAACACGAGCUGACGACAGCCAUGCAGCACCUGUCUCUACGCCCCCGAAAGGGAAACUACAUCUCUGCAGUCGUCGUAGGAUGUCAAACCCAGGUAAGGUUCUGCGCGUUGCUUCGAAUUAAACCACAUACUCCACCGCUUGUGCGGGCCCCCGUCAAUUCCUUUGAGUUUUAGUCUUGCGACCGUACUCCCCAGGCGGGAUACUUAAUGCGUGAGCUUUGGUACUCAGAGGGUUAAUUCUCCAAACACCUAGUAUCCAUCGUUUACGGUGCGGACUAC